This 390-nucleotide long non-coding RNA is filed under the name Cotesia glomerata. RNAcentral describes it as "uncharacterized LOC123269445". The record is from RNAcentral. Lineage: Eukaryota; Metazoa; Arthropoda; Insecta; Hymenoptera; Braconidae.
AUGUAAUAAAUAAUUUUUAUUAUAAUAAUUAUUAUCUUUAUUAUAUCCAUUAUUAUUAAGUGUGAAAGUAAAACUUGGUUUAUUGAAUGAACUAAUAAAGUAAAAAAACUUGCAUUUUUCCGGAUCAAAAUUUUUGGCGAAAAAACAGCGAAAGGAUGCAUUUGUAAAAUGGCAUCUGCACUGAUGACCAAAAAUGUUGAAAAAAAUUACUCUGGUACUGGGAAAAGAAUAAAAGGCGUGGGAAAACUUAAUUUUAGCGCAACAGAAACAUUUAAGUGUAUGGAAGAUGUAGUAAAAGAGAAACUUGGUGACUGUGAAGAUUGCAAAAAUUUUGCCGGAAAAGUUGGCCGGUGGUUGUCAGGGCAAGGAGAUCGAGAACAGGGUCGAAAA